Non-coding RNA from Triticum aestivum (bread wheat), 126 nucleotides. Lineage: Eukaryota; Viridiplantae; Streptophyta; Magnoliopsida; Poales; Poaceae. The record is from Rfam.
AUAUUACUCCCUACGUCCAAAAAAACUUGUCCCUCAAAUUGAUGUAUCUAGCAUCAAAUUAGUGAUAGAUACAUCUAUUUGAGAGACAAGAUUGGGACAAGCUUUUUCGGACAGAGGGAGUAUCAU